RNAcentral lists this unclassified non-coding RNA (240 nucleotides) under soil metagenome. Its description in RNAcentral is "partial contains 5.8S ribosomal RNA, internal transcribed spacer 2, and large subunit ribosomal RNA". The record is from RNAcentral.
AACAUCGCGCACCUGCGGGAACCUGCGGAGGGAUCAUUACCAAACAAAAUAGUUCGGGCUGCGCCUUGCAACAACCGUCAGGCCAGGAGCCCAGCUCCUGGAGGCGCGGCUGCCGGCAUCCUCUGUCUAUGAGUACCGUUUGUUCCCUCGGCGGGCGCAUACCCUGCCGAUGGGCCACCUGAAAACCCUUUUUGACUGAAGCACUAUACCUCUGAUCGUGGGCUUGAAUCGUUUACAACU